RNAcentral lists this ribosomal RNA (234 nucleotides) under uncultured bacterium. Its description in RNAcentral is "partial 16S ribosomal RNA". It matches the Rfam family "Bacterial small subunit ribosomal RNA", at positions 96 to 334 of the family's 1533-position model. The record is from RNAcentral.
UGGCGGACGGGUGAGUAAUGUCUGGGAAACUGCCUGAUGGAGGGGGAUAACUACUGGAAACGGUAGCUAAUACCGCAUAACGUCGCAAGACCAAAGAGGGGGACCUUGGGCCUCUUGCCAUCGGAUGUGCCCAGAUGGGAUUAGCUAGUAGGUGGGGUAACGGCUCACCUAGGCGACGAUCCCUAGCUGGUCUGAGAGGAUGACCCGCCACACUGGAACUGAGACACGGUCCAG